Molecule: non-coding RNA, 45 nt
Filed under: Trichobilharzia regenti
Lineage: Eukaryota; Metazoa; Platyhelminthes; Trematoda; Strigeidida; Schistosomatidae
Source: RNAcentral
AGCUGGCUGACGAGUCUCAAACAGGACGAAAUGUGCAUCCUGGAU